GCAAGUCGAGCGCGAAAGUUCUUCGGAGCGAGUAGGGCGGCGGACGGGUGAGUAACGCGUAGGAAUCUACCCAGUGGUGGGGGACAACCUGGUGAAAACCAGGCUAAUACCGCAUACGCCCGAGGGGGAAAGCGGGGGCUCUCUUCGGAGACCUCGCGCCAUUGGAUGAGCCUGCGUCGGAUUAGCUAGUUGGUGGGGUAAAGGCCCACCAAGGCGACGAUCCGUAGCUGGUCUGAGAGGACGAUC
RNAcentral lists this ribosomal RNA (246 nucleotides) under uncultured bacterium. RNAcentral's name for it is "partial 16S ribosomal RNA". It matches the Rfam family "Bacterial small subunit ribosomal RNA", at positions 57 to 305 of the family's 1533-position model. The record is from RNAcentral.